Malassezia psittaci is the source of this 98-nucleotide non-coding RNA. The record is from the annotation of a GenBank genome assembly. NCBI's taxonomy places the organism in Eukaryota, Fungi, Basidiomycota, Malasseziomycetes, Malasseziales, Malasseziaceae.
GGCAGGGUAGCAAAGUGGUCUAAUGCAGCGGCCUUAAGAAGCUGAGUUCUUGACUCGCAGAGAUCCGCCACUCGCGGGUUCGAACCCCGCCCUUGCCA